UAGGGAAUAUUGCAAAAUGGGCGAAAGCCCGAUGCAGCAACGCCGCGUGGGCGAUGAAGGCCUUUGGGUCGUAAAGCCCUUUUUGAGGGGAUGAGGAAGGACAGUACCCUCAGAAUAAGCCUCGGCUAACUACGUGCCAGCAGCCGCGGUAAAACGUAGGAGGCGAGCGUUAUCCGGAUUUACUGGGCGUAAAGCGCGUGCAGGCGGAUUGGAGAGUUGGAUGUGAAAGCUCCCGGCUUAACUGGGAGAGGUCGUUCAAUACUUCCAGUCCUGAGUGCAGUAGAGGGAAGUGGAAUUCCGGGUGUAGUGGUGAAAUGCGUAGAUAUCCGGAGGAACACCAGUGGCGAAAGCGGCUUCCUGAACUGUAACUGACGCUCAGACGCGAAAGCUAGGGUAGCAAACG
Molecule: ribosomal RNA, 403 nt
Filed under: uncultured bacterium
Lineage: Bacteria
Description: bacterial SSU rRNA
Rfam family: Bacterial small subunit ribosomal RNA
Source: RNAcentral